CACUCCUGCGGGAGGCAGCAGUGGGGAAUUUUGGACAAUGGGCGAAAGCCUGAUCCAGCAAUGCCGCGUGUGUGAAGAAGGCCUUCGGGUUGUAAAGCACUUUUGUCCGGAAAGAAAUCCUUGGCUCUAAUACAGUCGGGGGAUGACGGUACCGGAAGAAUAAGCACCGGCUAACUACGUGCCAGCAGCCGCGGUAAUACGUAGGGUGCGAGCGUUAAUCGGAAUUACUGGGCGUAAAGCGUGCGCAGGCGGUUUGCUAAGACCGAUGUGAAAUCCCCGGGCUCAACCUGGGAACUGCAUUGGUGACUGGCAGGCUAGAGUAUGGCAGAGGGGGGUAGAAUUCCACGUGUAGCAGUGAAAUGCGUAGAGAUGUGGAGGAAUACCGAUGGCGAAGGCAGCCCCCUGGGCCAAUACUGACGCUCAUGCACGAAAGCGUGGGGAGCAAACAGGAUUAGAUACCCGUGUAGUCCCAUGA
RNAcentral lists this ribosomal RNA (475 nucleotides) under uncultured organism. RNAcentral describes it as "partial 16S ribosomal RNA". It matches the Rfam family "Bacterial small subunit ribosomal RNA", at positions 334 to 800 of the family's 1533-position model. The record is from RNAcentral.